GGAAAAGUGGCCGAGCGGUCGAAGGCAGCACGUUGGAAGCGUGUAGGCGCAGUAAUGCGUCCAUCGGUUCGAAUCCGAUCUUUUCCGCCA
This 90-nucleotide transfer RNA is filed under the name Crocinitomicaceae bacterium. RNAcentral describes it as "tRNA-Ser". It matches the Rfam family "tRNA". From Rfam's summary of the family: Transfer RNA (tRNA) molecules are approximately 80 nucleotides in length. Their secondary structure includes four short double-helical elements and three loops (D, anti-codon, and T loops). The record is from RNAcentral. Lineage: Bacteria; Pseudomonadati; Bacteroidota; Flavobacteriia; Flavobacteriales; Crocinitomicaceae.